AGGUAAGGAUUCACACCUGUCGGUCUCCUAAAUCUCUGCCUGCAGGGCCCCAUGGAAAUGAGAAUGGACUGAAUUUUUGGUUUAAAGCAUGGAACCAUGGAACAAUCUAUGGAAAAAAGAAGCAUGGAACAAUCAAUAACUCAGCUACUAGCCUAAUUCUUGCUUCACAGCUACCAGCUCAACUUGGGACACCUGUUACAUCCCUGGUCCAAAAAGAUCCCACAUGCUGCAGGGCAACUAGGCCCACGCCACCACCACGGAGCCCACAUGCCACAACUGUGGAAGACCAUGCUCUGUAAUAAGAGAGGCCACUGCAGUGGGAGCCCGUGCGCCACAGACUGACAGCCGACCAUGCUGAGAAAGCCCGCAUGCAGCAAUGAAGACCCAGCAUAGAAA
Long non-coding RNA from Bos taurus (domestic cattle), 396 nucleotides. NCBI's taxonomy places the organism in Eukaryota, Metazoa, Chordata, Mammalia, Artiodactyla, Bovidae. The record is from Ensembl.